Molecule: ribosomal RNA, 574 nt
Filed under: uncultured bacterium
Lineage: Bacteria
Description: bacterial SSU rRNA
Rfam family: Bacterial small subunit ribosomal RNA
Source: RNAcentral
UCGCUGUUUGCGAUACACUGCAAGCGGCCAAGCGAAAGCAUUAAGUAUUCCACCUGGGGGGUACGCCGGCAACGGUGAAACUCAAAGGAAUUGACGGGGGCCCGCACAAGCGGAGGAACAUGUGGUUUAAUUCGAUGAUACGCGAGGAACCUUACCCAGGCUUAAAUUGCAAAUGAAUAUAGUGGAAACAUUAUAGCCAGCAAUGGCAUUUGUGAAGGUGCUGGAUGGUUGUCGUCAGCUCGUGCCGUGAGGUGUCGGCUUAAGUGCCAUAACGAGCGCAACCCUUAUCGAUAGUUACUAACAGGUUAAGCUGAGGACUCUAUUGAGACUGCCGUCGUAAGAUGCGAGGAAGGUGGGGAUGACGUCAAAUCAGCACGGCCCUUACGUCUGGGGCUACACACGUGUUACAAUGGGGGGUACAGAAGGCCGCUACCUGGCAACAGGAUGCUAAUCCCAAAAACCUCUCACAGUUCGGAUUGGAGUCUGCAACUCGACUCCAUGAAGCUGGAUUCGCUAGUAAUCGCGCAUCAGCCACGGCGCGGUGAAUACGUUCCCGGGCCUUGUACACUCCGCC